This 379-nucleotide unclassified non-coding RNA is filed under the name uncultured Pseudomonadota bacterium. RNAcentral's name for it is "uncultured proteobacterium contains 16S-23S intergenic spacer region". The record is from RNAcentral. Lineage: Bacteria; Pseudomonadati; Pseudomonadota.
UCCGGCUUAUCACCGGCGGUUCCUCUAGAGUGCCCAACUGAAUGCUGGCAACUAAAGGCGAGGGUUGCGCUCGUUGCGGGACUUAACCCAACAUCUCACGACACGAGCUGACGACAGCCAUGCAGCACCUGUGUGACGUCCAGCCGAACUGAAAGACCGGUCUCCCGGUCCGCGACGUCCAAGUCAAGGGAUGGUAAGGUUCUGCGCGUUGCUUCGAAUUAAACCACAUAAUCCACCGCUUGUGCGGGUCCCCGUCAAUUCCUUUGAGUUUUAGCCUUGCGGCCGUACUCCCCAGGCGGGGCACUUAGUGCGUUAGCGACGGCACGGGAGGAGUCGACACCUCCCACACCUAGUGCCCAUCGUUUACGGCGUGGACUAC